UACACAUAGAGAAUGUCGACAAGUAAGGCUAAUAUGAGUACUGGAUUAUUUUUAUUUUGCUUUACUAACUGUACAGUCCCAUAAACGCUCUUCAAAAGAUCCUUGAAGAAAUGGACCUUUUUUAACGCUUUUUGAAGAAUGACAAAAUUCACAGAAGUUACUCGUCCUUAAAAAUAUUUCGAUUAUAUAACAAACGACGAUUAGAUCUGGAGGAACAGAGGGAGAUCGUGUGAGUCACAUCAAUUUCGAAAUGCUAUCACUUCCACAAGGAUACAAGUGCAAGAAGUUUUUAUAGCAACAACAGCAAUAACAACGACUACAACAACAACAAUAACAACAUCAAUGGCCAAGUACUUUGAUAUCGUCGAUGCUGACUGUACCCUAAAUGGACCGUAUAUAUAUCACAUUUAGCCGAUUUCAAUUUGAAAAGUAUUCCAAUUAAAGCGUUGCCUUAACUGUA
This is a long non-coding RNA of Drosophila mojavensis, 460 nucleotides long. RefSeq lists it as uncharacterized. The record is from RefSeq and is a predicted model, not a curated record. The transcript has 2 exons. Lineage: Eukaryota; Metazoa; Arthropoda; Insecta; Diptera; Drosophilidae.